Molecule: long non-coding RNA, 1985 nt
Organism: Oncorhynchus gorbuscha (pink salmon)
Lineage: Eukaryota; Metazoa; Chordata; Actinopteri; Salmoniformes; Salmonidae
Exons: 3
Source: RefSeq, a predicted model, not a curated record
CUUGGUUGUAAUCGCACGCGCAGGGAACUCCUUACUCGCCUUGACGAUCAGAGGAGUUGCUUGUAAGGCUUUUUACGCGCAGCUGUAUUUCGGAAAGUUGUAGUUUCAACGAUUUUAUUGAAAAUAUCAUGGCGAAUAAUUCAUGUAAAGCGAAGUCCAACUCUAAAGUGGAAAAGUGAAAGUGAGACAGAUUUUUUGUUUGAGGAAUCUUGGAGUGUUAUGAUUCAAACGAACUGUUUCUGCAAGGACAGGACGUACUUCUGGACGGCCUUCCUCUCCUCUGAGGACCCAGUGAGGGUGGAGCUCAGUCAGAGAGCUGUUGAGGGACUGGUUAGGAAGAACACUUCUACAGCCAGAGAGGGGCAGUCAAGAAAUGGAACAGCAAGGCCACAGAACAUUACAUAAGCAUAGCUGUGGGAGACCACCUCAAGCCCCUGGUAGAGCCGGGGGUGGUGUUUUACCACUCCACCACGCCUUCAGCAGGCUUGAGAAGUUGAAUUGAUCUGUUUGAUCCAUUUGUUUGUUUCAGUUUUCAGUAGUUGAAUCCUGUGAUGUAUUGUUCAUUUCAACAUUUUUCAUUUUCAACAAAUGCACUGGGUUGGUUGAAAAGUGAUACUAAACUUACAUAUCAUGCACUAUAUUGACAUAGAUAGAUAGAUAGAUAGAUACAUAGAUAGAUACAUAGAUAGAUACAUAGAUAGAUAUACUAAAUUGAUACUGUUUUUCAUACUAAGAUGGACCAUGCACUAUGUUGACAAGGUAGAAGAUAGCAUGAAAAACAGUAUAAAUUCAGUCUGAGAUGGACCAAGAUAUGCCUUUGCACAUAUUUGUUCAUUGGUUUAGUAAGAGUCUGUUGAUUGGUUCAUUUGUUUUGCAAUAUGAUCAAAUCAAGCUUUAUUUAUAUAGUACAUUUCAGACAUGACUUCACAGGAAAAAAACAAAUAAAAAUAAACUGAAAUAUUUAGUACACAACAAACAGAAACUUAACUGAAAGCCUGAGCAUUUUAAGGAAAUGUCUUUGAUUAAAAUAUUAACAAUUGGAUGCAACAUCCAACACAAAAUAUAAGCUUGUUUUACUCCAAUAUUUGUUCUAACGUUCUCCAUCAAGAAACCCAAAAAACUAAAGUCAAAUUAAACGUUACAUGAAUUGUAAAUAUGAAAUAUCAAAAUCAAAUAUACACCCCUUUGUUAAUAUGUAUUGGCAAUAAUUAACUUAAUGAAUGGUGAGGCAUGGAAUAAUAAAACAUGUAUCUUUGUCAGGCGGAAUGUUUGAAAUAUGAGGUAAUUUGAUUCAUACUUCAGUCGUGGAAUAAAGACAAUUAGCAUUUGAAUGGUGUAAAGAAAUACUGGAGUGAUGUAUGAAUGUUAAUAAAAUGUAUUAUACUGCAUCCAUGUGAAUCGGCGACAAGUAUGUUGAAAUUAAUUUAUCAAGUCAUUGAAAAAAGACCUGAAAAUAUUUUAUUUUAUAAACAAAACACGACAACAUCAUACAAACAACAUCAUACCUGCUCUUUUUUUGUUAAGUCACUUUUUGUUAAUUUACAUAAAUAGUAAUAGAUGUAAACAGAUGGCUACAUUUUGAAGUGUUGCAUUUUGAUUCAAGAGGGUCACCAACGUGGUAAGUGUAACACAACUCUUUUUUUGUUAAAUCACAUAAAUAAUACUCUUUCAAUUCAGAGCCUGGAUUUGGCUAAAAUUCAUAUCAUGCUAAAAUCAAAUGAACAGGGGGCAAACAUUUAGGGUGCUACAUUGUGAAAUUCAUUCAAAUACUCAGACUACAAUGUUAAAACAUUCUACAUUGUGACAAUAUUUAAUUGAUAUUGUGAAACAACUCCUUCAUGUAUGUAUUUUCUGAUGUUUGAUUAGAUAUAUUUUAUCAGAGUAUCUCUUGUCACAUUGAUCAUAGCCAUAAGGUUUCUCUCAUGUGUGUGUCCGCUGGUGUGAUAUCAGGCUGUUUGACCGAGUAAAACUCUUCCCACAUUGAU